AUGUUGUGUAAAGACAAAAGUAAAAGUUUUCCCCUGACAUUAAGUCUAGUCAUGUCCUACUCUGGGGGUUUGUGCUCAUCUCCAUUUCUAAGCCGAAAAGCCGCCAUUGUCUGUAGAUGCUUCCAAGGUCAUACGGUCGGCAUGACUGCAUGGAGCACCAUUAUCUUCCCACAAAAGAGGUACCUAUUGAUCUACUCACAUUUGCAUGUUUUUAACUUCUGGACCGAAAGGCCGCAGGUUUGAAUUGGGGGAGCGGAGAGAGCCCCCACUGUUAGCCCCAGCUUCUGCCAACCCAGAAGUUCAAAACAUGCAAAUGUGAGUGCAUCAAUAGGUACUGCUCCGGCAGGAAGGUAACACCGCUUCAUGCAGUCAUUCCACAUGACCUUGGAGGAGUCUACAGACAACGCCGGCUCUUCAGCUUAGAAAAGGGGAUGAGCACCAACCCCCAGAGUCAGACACAACUGGACUUAACGUCAGGGGAAAACAUUUACCCUUUACCUUAACUACCACCAAUUCCUCAAUACUUUAUUUCCCAUACCACCAUACUUCGCCACAGCAACGUGUGGCUGGGCACAGCUAGUAUAAGUGAAAGUACGUCCACAACCCAGGAUCUAUUAUCCCCCAGUUUCAUAUUGCUAGAUAGAUUCUAAACAUGCUCAGAAUGGCAGAUAUGCUGGGAUGAGGAACAACAUCAAAUAAUUCAACAUAUAACAUUGGUAAAAAUUAUAAAUAAAACCAAUGCAUAUUAAAAUCCAUAAAUAAAUACUUUUAAACCAUAAUAUAAACAUAAUUGGGAAAGGUCUGCUGAAAGGGGCUGGUCUUUAGUGCUUAAAUACAGCAAGCAUUUCAAAAAGAUGAAUCUCUUUCAGUAGGUCAUUCCUCAGUCUGAGAGUGGUUGAAGAAAAGGUCUUCUGGGUAACUCUCAGCCUAGUUUUAACAGACUGAAGUAGAUGUCUCAAAGAGGACCUGAAUGUACUGGGUGGAUUAUAUGGGAGAAGAUCAUCUGUAUGUAUUCUGGACCCAAAAUAUGUAUGGUUUUAAAUGCAAUAACCAACACCUUGUUCUUUACCUAGAAAAUAAUUGGCAACUACAGUAGAGUCUCACUUAUCCAACAUAAAUGGUCCAGCAGAACCUUAGAUAAGCAAAACUGUUGGAAAACAAGGAGAGAUUAAGAAAAAGCCUUUUAAACAUCAAAUUACAUUAUGAUUUCACAAAUUAAGUACUAAGACAUCAUGUUUUACAACAAAUCAACAGAAAAAGCAGUUCAAUACACAGUAAUGUUAUGUGGUAAUUACUAUAUUUACGAAUUUUGCACCAAAACAUCACAGUUUAUUGAAAACAUUGACUACAAAAACAUUGACUACUAAAAAAUUGACUACAAAUAAAGAUAGAAUUGCAGAAAAUGAACUUACAGUAGCAUGUUGUCAGAAGUUAAAUCCAUAAAAAGUUCAGUCCUUACUGCCUAGAGAAACAGCUGUGGAUUCGGGCAAGAGGCAGACUGCGUUGGAUAAUCCAGAACAUUGGAUAAGUGAAGGUUGGAUAAGUGAGACUCUACUGUAGUGGAAUGAUUUUAAUAUUGGUGUAAUGUGGUUACUCCUAGAUGUACCUGUAACCAAUAUGUCUGCCAUGUUUUAAAUUCACUCAAGUUUCCAAACAUGAUUCAAAGAUAGCACAAUGUAGAAUGCACUGCGGAAGUGCAAUCUUGAGGUUAAAAGCACCUGCACUAUCAUCCUUAGAUCCUCCAUGUCUGGGAAAAGGCAUAAUUGGUGUAACUGCCAAAGCUGAUAAUAAGCACUCCUUAUCAUCACAUCUAUCCAGGCUAUCAUUUGGAGGGACAGAUCCAGGGGCACUCUCAAGCAGCAAGCAUAGUCUGUCAUGGGAAGGGUAAUCCCAUUCAGAACUGGUCAACACACCUCUAGACACAGGUUAGUACAGUAUGUAACUCCAUCUUGUCUGAUGUUGGGUUCAGUUGUUUUUUCAUCAUCCAGCCAUUACCUCCUCCAGGCAUUCAUUCAGAGGAGAUACACUAUUCUUAGCUGAUACUAUUCUGAAGACAUAAAGAAGUAUAUUUGGGUAUCAUCAUCAUAUCAGUAGCACCUUACCCCAUAUUCUGCAGCCUUGAGCAAAAGACAAAAUAGUCUCCCUUACCCCGGUCCAUACCAUUCUGACUGUUCCACUCAGUCAAGAUUCUGUCAUGUAGAAGGGUACCAAUCAGGCUUAUAAUACAAUCAUCCCUGUUUGUGCCAGUUAUCCCUUCACCUUCGGAGUGAAAUAGUUACAACACUUUUGGC
Anolis carolinensis (green anole) is the source of this 2291-nucleotide long non-coding RNA. The record is from Ensembl. NCBI's taxonomy places the organism in Eukaryota, Metazoa, Chordata, Lepidosauria, Squamata, Anolidae.